GCUUCCCUCUGGCGGCGUGCCUAAUACAUGCAAGUCGAGCGAACGGACGAGAAGCUUGCUUCUCUGAUGUUAGCGGCGGACGGGUGAGUAACACGUGGAUAACCUACCUAUAAGACUGGGAUAACUUCGGGAAACCGGAGCUAAUACCGGAUAAUAUUUUGAACCGCAUGGUUCAAAAGUGAAAGACGGUCUUGCUGUCACUUAUAGAUGGAUCCGCGCUGCAUUAGCUAGUUGGUAAGGUAACGGCUUACCAAGGCAACGAUGCAUAGCCGACCUGAGAGGGUGAUCGGCCACACUGGAACUGAGACACGGUCCAGACUCCUACGGGAGGCAGCAGUAGGGAAUCUUCCGCAAUGGGCGAAAGCCUGACGGAGCAACGCCGCGUGAGUGAUGAAGGUCUUCGGAUCGUAAAACUCUGUUAUUAGGGAAGAACAUAUGUGUAAGUAACUGUGCACAUCUUGACGGUACCUAAUCAGAAAGCCACGGCUAACUACGUG
RNAcentral lists this ribosomal RNA (497 nucleotides) under uncultured bacterium. RNAcentral's name for it is "partial 16S ribosomal RNA". It matches the Rfam family "Bacterial small subunit ribosomal RNA", at positions 36 to 507 of the family's 1533-position model. The record is from RNAcentral.